GAUGAAGAACGCAGCGAAAUGCGAUAAGUAAUGUGAAUUGCAGAAUUCUGUGAAUCAUCGAAUCUUUGAACGCACCUUGCGCUCCUUGGUAUUCCAAGGAGCAUGCCUGUUUGAGUAUCAUUAAAUUAUCAACUGUGCCAAUUUGGUUACAGAUUGGAUGUGGGAGAUUCUUUUUGCAGGCCUUUGACUUCUCUUUGAGAAAAAAAAUAAAAGGUCGGCUCUCCUGAAAUGUAUUAGCAGUGCCUUUGUUGGUUCAUUAGGUGUGAUAAAUUGUCUACAUCUUCGCAUGAUACCUUCAUUUGUAAAGGUCAUAUUGCUUCUAAAUUGUCUUUGAUUGGACGCAAAACAUAUAUAAUGUUUGACAAACUUGAUCUCAAAUCAGGCAGGACUACCCGCUGAACUUAAGCAUAUCAAUAAGCGGAGGA
RNAcentral lists this unclassified non-coding RNA (425 nucleotides) under soil metagenome. RNAcentral's name for it is "partial contains 5.8S ribosomal RNA, internal transcribed spacer 2, and large subunit ribosomal RNA". The stretch from base 1 to 120 matches the Rfam family "5.8S ribosomal RNA", at positions 35 to 154 of the family's 154-position model. The record is from RNAcentral.